CAUGUCGCCAGAAGGAGAAUCACAGGAAAUGCCAAGGCAACUUCUGACCUGCGCCCAUACCGACUUCGUGUAAUCACAGGAGUGGAAGAUGUGGGCGCAGGAUUCCGCAUCAUUCCCGCAGAGGUGACAGAACGAGGCGAGAUGCCAGCCCCGCCGCUGGAGGUUGUCCGUCGUCAAGCAAGCCCAUCGCAUGGCGAGGAACAUGAAGAAUUUGCAGCGGGUCGAAUAGAACCUCCAUCCGGGAGCUAG
RNAcentral lists this long non-coding RNA (249 nucleotides) under Oryza sativa Indica Group (long-grained rice). RNAcentral's name for it is "lncRNA OsKYG_03g0021970". The record is from RNAcentral. Lineage: Eukaryota; Viridiplantae; Streptophyta; Magnoliopsida; Poales; Poaceae.